UCAGCUCGUGUCGUGAGAUGUUGGGUUAAGUACCCGCAACGAGCGCAACCCUUAUCAUUAGUUGCUAACAUUCAGUUGAGAACUCUAAUGAGACUGCCAGUGAUAAACUGGAGGAAGGUGGGGAUGACGUCAAAUCAUCAUGCCCCUUAUGACCUGGGCUACACACGUGCUACAAUGGCCGGUACAAAGAGUUGCGAAACUGUGAAGUUAAGCUAAUCUCAUAAAGCCGGUCUCAGUUCGGAUUGUAGUCUGCAACUCGACUACAUGAAGUCGGAAUCGCUAGUAAUCGCGAAUCAGAAUGUCGCGGUGAAUACGUUCUCGAGUCUU
Molecule: ribosomal RNA, 327 nt
Filed under: uncultured Bacillota bacterium
Lineage: Bacteria; Bacillati; Bacillota
Description: bacterial SSU rRNA
Rfam family: Bacterial small subunit ribosomal RNA
Source: RNAcentral